RNAcentral lists this ribosomal RNA (445 nucleotides) under uncultured bacterium. RNAcentral's name for it is "bacterial SSU rRNA". It matches the Rfam family "Bacterial small subunit ribosomal RNA", at positions 330 to 792 of the family's 1533-position model. The record is from RNAcentral.
GCCAGACUCCUACGGGAGGCAGCAGUGGGGAAUAUUGCACAAUGGGGGAAACCCUGAUGCAGCGACGCCGCGUGAGCGAUGAAGUAUUUCGGUAUGUAAAGCUCUAUCAGCAGGGAAGAAGAUGACGGUACCUGACUAAGAAGCCCCGGCUAACUACGUGCCAGCAGCCGCGGUAAUACGUAGGGGGCAAGCGUUAUCCGGAUUUACUGGGUGUAAAGGGAGCGUAGACGGCGAUGCAAGCCAGAUGUGAAAGCCCGCGGCUCAACUGCGGUAGUGCAUUUGGAACUGUAUGGCUGGAGUGCAGGAGAGGCAGGCGGAAUUCCUAGUGUAGCGGUGAAAUGCGUAGAUAUUAGGAGGAACACCAGUGGCGAAGGCGGCCUGCUGGACUGUAACUGACGUUGAGGCUCGAAAGCGUGGGGAGCAAACAGGAUUAGAUACCCCGGUA